UGCUAAUCUGCGAUAAGCGUCGGUAAGGUGAUAUGAACCGUUAUAACCGGCGAUUUCCGAAUGGGGAAACCCAGUGUGUUUCGACACACUAUCAUUAACUGAAUCCAUAGGUUAAUGAGGCGAACCGGGGGAACUGAAACAUCUAAGUACCCCGAGGAAAAGAAAUCAACCGAGAUUCCCCCAGUAGCGGCGAGCGAACGGGGAGCAGCCCAGAGCCUGAAUCAGUGUGUGUGUUAGUGGAAGCGUCUGGAAAGGCGCGCGAUACAGGGUGACAGCCCCGUACACAAAAAUGCACAUGCUGUGAGCUCGAUGAGUAGGGCGGGACACGUGGUAUCCUGUCUGAAUAUGGGGGGACCAUCCUCCAAGGCUAAAUACUCCUGACUGACCGAUAGUGAACCAGUACCGUGAGGGAAAGGCGAAAAGAACCCCGGCGAGGGGAGUGAAAAAGAACCUGAAACCGUGUACGUACAAGCAGUGGGAGCACGCUUAGGCGUGUGACUGCGUACCUUUUGUAUAAUGGGUCAGCGACUUAUAUUCUGUAGCAAGGUUAACCGAAUAGGGGAGCCGAAGGGAAACCGAGUCUUAACUGGGCGUUAAGUUGCAGGGUAUAGACCCGAAACCCGGUGAUCUAGCCAUGGGCAGGUUGAAGGUUGGGUAACACUAACUGGAGGACCGAACCGACUAAUGUUGAAAAAUUAGCGGAUGACUUGUGGCUGGGGGUGAAAGGCCAAUCAAACCGGGAGAUAGCUGGUUCUCCCCGAAAGCUAUUUAGGUAGCGCCUCGUGAAUUCAUCUCCGGGGGUAGAGCACUGUUUCGGCAAGGGGGUCAUCCCGACUUACCAACCCGAUGCAAACUGCGAAUACCGGAGAAUGUUAUCACGGGAGACACACGGCGGGUGCUAACGUCCGUCGUGAAGAGGGAAACAACCCAGACCGCCAGCUAAGGUCCCAAAGUCAUGGUUAAGUGGGAAACGAUGUGGGAAGGCCCAGACAGCCAGGAUGUUGGCUUAGAAGCAGCCAUCAUUUAAAGAAAGCGUAAUAGCUCACUGGUCGAGUCGGCCUGCGCGGAAGAUGUAACGGGGCUAAACCAUG
This 1091-nucleotide ribosomal RNA is filed under the name Escherichia coli. Its description in RNAcentral is "partial 23S ribosomal RNA". It matches the Rfam family "Bacterial large subunit ribosomal RNA", at positions 59 to 1191 of the family's 2925-position model. Lineage: Bacteria; Pseudomonadati; Pseudomonadota; Gammaproteobacteria; Enterobacterales; Enterobacteriaceae. The record is from RNAcentral.